This 267-nucleotide signal recognition particle RNA is filed under the name Clostridiales bacterium. RNAcentral's name for it is "signal recognition particle sRNA large type". It matches the Rfam family "Bacterial large signal recognition particle RNA". Rfam says of the family: The signal recognition particle (SRP) is a universally conserved ribonucleoprotein involved in the co-translational targeting of proteins to membranes. The record is from RNAcentral. Lineage: Bacteria; Bacillati; Bacillota; Clostridia; Eubacteriales.
CCGUGCUAGACGGGGAGUUUGCGGUGCCCUAUAACCUGCAACCCGCAACAGCAGGGUUGAAUUCCUUUGCCGAGGUAGACGCUUGUGAGGUCUGCCCCUGAUAAGUGAUGUUGAUGAUUGGGUCUUGCGCAACGAAAAUUUAUGAACCCCGUCAGGCCUGGAAGGGAGCAGCGGUAAGUAAACUCUUUCGUGUGCCGUAGGGGUGCCUGGUUGGAGUUAACUGUCAGGGUUACGCUUGGAACUGUUCUGCCGAAGAAAGGUGCACGG